GGACGAACGCUGGCGGCGUGCUUAACACAUGCAAGUCGAACGGUGAAGCCCUUCGGGGUGGAUCAGUGGCGAACGGGUGAGUAACACGUGGGAAAUCUGCCCUGCACUCUGGGACAAGCCUUGGAAACGAGGUCUAAUACCGGAUAUGACCUUCCUCUGCAUGGGGGUUGGUGGAAAGCUCCGGCGGUGCAGGAUGAUCCCGCGGCCUAUCAGCUUGUUGGUGGGGUAACGGCCCACCAAGGCGACGACGGGUAGCCGGCCUGAGAGGGCGACCGGCCACACUGGGACUGAGACACGGCCCAGACUCCUACGGGAGGCAGCAGUGGGGAAUAUUGCACAAUGGGCGAAAGCCUGAUGCAGCGACGCCGCGUGAGGGAUGACGGCCUUCGGGUUGUAAACCUCUUUCAGCAGGGAAGAAGCGCAAGUGACGGUACCUGCAGAAGAAGCACCGGCUAACUACGUGCCAGCAGCCGCGGUAAUACGUAGGGUGCGAGCGUUGUCCGGAAUUAUUGGGCGUAAAGAGCUCGUAGGCGGCCUGUCGCGUCGGAUGUGAAAGCCCGGGGCUUAACCCCGGGUCUGCAUUCGAUACGGGCAGGCUAGAGUGUGGUAGGGGAGAUCGGAAUUCCUGGUGUAGCGGUGAAAUGCGCAGAUAUCAGGAGGAACACCGGUGGCGAAGGCGGAUCUCUGGGCCAUUACUGACGCUGAGGAGCGAAAGCGUGGGGAGCGAACAGGAUUAGAUACCCUGGUAGUCCACGCCGU
RNAcentral lists this ribosomal RNA (759 nucleotides) under Kitasatospora sp. RNAcentral's name for it is "bacterial SSU rRNA". It matches the Rfam family "Bacterial small subunit ribosomal RNA", at positions 27 to 803 of the family's 1533-position model. The record is from RNAcentral. Lineage: Bacteria; Bacillati; Actinomycetota; Actinomycetes; Kitasatosporales; Streptomycetaceae.